AGCAGUAGCCACGGGAAUACGGAGGGUGCAAGCGUUAUCCGGAUUUAUUGGGUUUAAAGGGUCCGUAGGCGGAUCUGUAAGUCAGUGGUGAAAUCUCACAGCUUAACUGUGAAACUGCCAUUGAUACUGCAGGUCUUGAGUAAAUUUGAAGUGGCUGGAAUAAGUAGUGUAGCGGUGAAAUGCAUAGAUAUUACUUAGAACACCAAUUGCGAAGGCAGGUCACUAAGAUUUAACUGACGCUGAUGGACGAAAGCGUGGGGAGCGAACAGGAUUAGAUACCCCCGUAGUCCCUGUCUCUUAUAC
This 303-nucleotide ribosomal RNA is filed under the name uncultured bacterium. RNAcentral describes it as "partial 16S ribosomal RNA". It matches the Rfam family "Bacterial small subunit ribosomal RNA", at positions 507 to 807 of the family's 1533-position model. The record is from RNAcentral.